RNAcentral lists this ribosomal RNA (253 nucleotides) under uncultured bacterium. RNAcentral's name for it is "partial 16S ribosomal RNA". It matches the Rfam family "Bacterial small subunit ribosomal RNA", at positions 524 to 777 of the family's 1533-position model. The record is from RNAcentral.
GACAGAGGUGCCGAGCGUUAGGCGGAAUCACUGGGCGUAAAGGGUGCGUAGGCGGGUCUUUAAGUCAGGGGUGAAAUCCUGGAGCUCAACUCCAGAACUGCCUUUGAUACUGAAGAUCUUGAGUUCGGGAGAGGUGAGUGGAACUGCGAGUGUAGAGGUGAAAUUCGUAGAUAUUCGCAAGAACACCAGUGGCGAAGGCGGCUCACUGGCCCGAUACUGACGCUGAGGCACGAAAGCGUGGGAGCAAACAGGG